AACGAACGCUGGCGGCAUGCCUAACACAUGCAAGUCGAACGAGAUCUUCGGGUCUAGUGGCGCACGGGUGCGUAACGCGUGGGAAUCUGCCCUUUGGUUCGGAAUAACAGUUGGAAACGACUGCUAAUACCGGAUGAUGACGAAAGUCCAAAGAUUUAUCGCCAGAGGAUGAGCCCGCGUAGGAUUAGCUAGUUGGUGUAGUAAAGGCGCACCAAGGCGACGAUCCUUAGCUGGUCUGAGAGGAUGAUCAGCCACACUGGGACUGAGACACGGCCCAGACUCCUACGGGAGGCAGCAGUGGGGAAUAUUGGACAAUGGGCGAAAGCCUGAUCCAGCAAUGCCGCGUGAGUGAUGAAAGCCUUAGGGUUGUAAAGCUCUUUUACCCGGGAUGAUAAUGACAGUACCGGGAGAAUAAGCUCCGGCUAACUCCGUGCCAGCAGCCGCAGUAA
Molecule: ribosomal RNA, 449 nt
Filed under: uncultured bacterium
Lineage: Bacteria
Description: partial 16S ribosomal RNA
Rfam family: Bacterial small subunit ribosomal RNA
Source: RNAcentral